GUAGUAGCUGAGAAGUCAAGUUGGUCCCAAGUGAUGCCGUUCAUUUGCAAUUCAUGUGUUAAAUAUGUGGAUUAAAAUGGUAAAUAAACCAUGUAAAUUUGCAAAUAUUCUUCGUAACAUAAGGUUUCACAAAGAUGAAUUAGGUGUUAACUUAUAUGAUUAAGAUGAAUUAAGUGAUCAUUUAUAUGAUUAAGAUCUGAUAGGAGAGAUCUGCAGAGCACUGCAGCCAUUGGUCAGAAAGGCCAUUUAGUGUUAUUAGAAUUAUUUAUAACUAAAUUAUUGGAUUAACAGAGUUAUUGAAUUCGUCAAUUAGUGGAACGGUAUUUUAACCAGUUUUAGAAACCGGGAUUUGUAUCAAUAACCUGUUGUAAUAACCUGUUUGUUGCUACCUGGAUAACGCGCUAUACCGCCUCAUCCACAACUCCCCUUCCACGGAACACUCUGGACUACAAAAGGAUGGAAGACAAGUUUAUCACGGCCUUUUUCUUCUGCCAUCGCUCUUCUUCAGCAACUCCGGCCCGGGGUGGUUUAGUGUGCUGUCUCUCUCUCCCAUGUCACUAGUCCAUUAAGAAGAAGUCACCAGAACAUUGCAAUUGGUUCCCGUCACUUCCGUAAAUUCCAGCUAAGCUAGGAAGUUUGUUGCUCGAGGUAAUAUUGUGGGUGAGCCCUAUCCUAACCUGCCUGCUUGUCCCAACCUUAGCACCACCUACCUUAUUAUCUCGACAAACCCCUCCCGCGGAUUGUGCCUCGUUCCCAGCCGUUAUAAAGAAUGUAGGACUAGGAGAGAACGAGGUCAAUCACGUGAUCCUAGAAGCUACCAGUACCUGUCCAUCGUCCAGAGAGAGAGUCAGCCAGCCCCGUUAUAAAUACACACUGCAGUUCCCAUUGAUCACCCAGCUACCCAACUGAUUUAGGGUAACGGACUUUACCAUGAAAUGGAACACUUAUUUUAUGUACUAUUGGAUUGGUCUUGCAUUAUUUUACAAUCC
Molecule: long non-coding RNA, 989 nt
Organism: Bolinopsis microptera
Lineage: Eukaryota; Metazoa; Ctenophora; Tentaculata; Lobata; Bolinopsidae
Exons: 5
Source: RefSeq, a predicted model, not a curated record